This 477-nucleotide ribosomal RNA is filed under the name uncultured bacterium. RNAcentral describes it as "partial 16S ribosomal RNA". It matches the Rfam family "Bacterial small subunit ribosomal RNA", at positions 28 to 507 of the family's 1533-position model. The record is from RNAcentral.
GAUGAACGCUGGCGGCGUGCCUAAUACAUGCAAGUCGAGCGAACAGACGAGGAUCUUGCUCCUCUGACGUUAGCGGCGGACGGGUGAGUAACACGUGUAUAACCUACCUAUAAGACUGGGAUAACUUCGGGAAACCGGAGCUAAUACCGUAUAAUCUAUUGAACCGCAUUGUUCAAUAGUGAAAGACGGUUUUGUUGGCAGUUGUGGAUGGAUCCGCGCCUGAUCAGCUUGUUGGUGGUGUAGUGGCUUAUCAAGGCUACGACGGGUAGCCGGCCUGAGAGGGGGACCGGCCACAUUGGGACUGAGAGACGGCCCAGACUCCUACGGGAGGAAGCAGUGGGGAAUAUUGCACAAUGGGCGGAAACCUGAUGCAGCAACGCCGCGUGCGGGAUGACGGCCGUCGGGUUGUAAACCGCUUUCGCCUGUGACGAAGCGUGAGUGACGGUAAUGGGUAAAGAAGCACCGGCUAACUACGUG